RNAcentral lists this ribosomal RNA (480 nucleotides) under uncultured bacterium. Its description in RNAcentral is "partial 16S ribosomal RNA". It matches the Rfam family "Bacterial small subunit ribosomal RNA", at positions 28 to 523 of the family's 1533-position model. The record is from RNAcentral.
GACGAACGCUGGCGGCGUGCUUUAUACAUGCAAGUCGAACGAUGACGUUCCUUCGGGAAUGGAUUAGUGGCGAACGGGUGAGGAAAACGUGAGAAACCUGCCUUUCAUUCUGGGAUAACACCGUGAAACCGGUGCUACUACCGGAUACUUCGUCUUGGCGGCAUCGCCGAGCCGGGAAAACAUUCUGAUGAAAGAUGGUCUCGCGGCCUAUCAGCUAGUUGGUGAGGUAAAGGCUCACCAAGGCGACGACGGGUAGCCGGCCUGAGAGGGCGACCGGCCACACUGGGACUGAGACACGGCCCAGACUCCUACGGGAGGCAGCAAUAGGGAAUAUUGGGCAAUGGGCGCAAGCCUGACCCAGCGACGCCGCGUGAGGGAUGAAGGUCUUCGGAUUGUAAACCUCUUUCAGUAGGGAAGAAGCGAAAGUGACUGUACCUAAAGAAGAAGCACCGGCUAACUAUGUGCCAGCCGCCGCUGUAA